CCAUGGAAUCUAUCCCAUGGCAGUUUCACACAUUUCAAUGCAGGCGAAAGUAAGUUAGCAUGUGGACAUAACUGAGGUUAACCUAGAAUUUGGCUCCCAUCCCACAAGAAGCAAAGAAGGGCAGGCAGGCCCCUUUCGCAUUUCAAAAAUUUGCUACCAUGACUGGCUAGAUUUCCAAGUAUAAUGAUGAUCAUUGGCUCUCCAGGCUUCUCCUGACCCACUUCAUUAGUUGCAUACUGUGCUUAGUCUAAAAUUGACGUCAUUUGAUUGGACUGCUCUAUCAAUCAAUAACAGCAUUUUGUAAAAUACAGUACUGGCGAAAAAAACAACAACAACAACUACAGGUCAAAGAAUGAGAAGUGAUUUUCGGCAGUUACUCUGGGUCUGCAUGAGGCAGAGAGAGAGAGAGUUAUAGCUACAAUAUCAAUGUUAUGCGAGAGAAGAGAGACAUUUACAGAAAAAGAAAGUGAGCAACUGAAGUAUGGAAAGAUAGGAAAUAAGAAAACUAAACAUCUCUGAGGCAGUUUAGGGUGCAAUUUAAAAUCUGCAGAAGUGGUACAAGAUGGCAGAAGGAUAAGAUAACCACCUUCUAAUAAAGGAUUUGAUUUUUAAUGUGGUGAGUAGUGUGGCUCCAAAGAGUGGUGGUUUUUUUUUUAAUUGGGUUGCCCACUGGAGGAAGGAAAGAGAAGGAAGAAGCAGGCUAUGGAUGUUUAAAACCAACUGGAACUAUUAAGAUCAUGCGUGAGGCUGCUGUUCCAUGGGCAGAACCAGAGAGUUCCACUGUGGGAAACCUGCAGCACUUUGCUGGCUGCCCCCACUAGCAACUGUCAUCGUGGAAAUCGGCAGCAAGCUGCCACGGAAGAAGCCUGAGCAAAUUAAAAAAGAAACAAGAAAGAUCGGGAGUUGGUCUUUUUUUAAGAAAAUAAAAGUAACUUAGUUGUGGGAAAAUAUCAGUCUCUGGAAUCAACACCUUCAUGACUGUGAUAGAAAUGGCUAUGAAACCAAACCGUGGACUCCAAUCUCAGGUAUGAUGCCUCCCACUUCUAUGACCUUAGAUAAGUCAUUCAUCUCCU
Molecule: long non-coding RNA, 1073 nt
Filed under: Phascolarctos cinereus (koala)
Lineage: Eukaryota; Metazoa; Chordata; Mammalia; Diprotodontia; Phascolarctidae
Description: lncRNA (ENSPCIG00000031655.1)
Source: RNAcentral